Molecule: long non-coding RNA, 416 nt
Filed under: Mytilus galloprovincialis (Mediterranean mussel)
Lineage: Eukaryota; Metazoa; Mollusca; Bivalvia; Mytilida; Mytilidae
Source: RNAcentral
UUUUAUAUUUGUUUUUUAAUUUUUGUAUGUGUUGAACCACUCGAACCUUGAAACAUCCAUUUCAGAUGUACUUUUUGCUAAUACAAGAAUGUCAUACAUAGCAAUGAACAAGAAUUUGCAAAACUGUUACAUUUGUUUGGUGCUGGCGGUCAAUUUCGUGAUCUAUGGGUUCCAAACCCCGCAAAUUUUGUGUUUCUGUCGAUGCAUUUGUGUUGUGAAUAUGCACGAAUAUCAUUGCUGUUCAUGGUCAGUUAUUAUCCUGCUAAAAAGUAUUCAUUCGACGCGCAAUCAUCAAUCAAUCGAAUUUCCAAAAAAAUACCCAUGUGUGUUCUGCUCCAGCCUUUAGGACAUGGUUUUUAGCAUCAUGAUGCGUCCACUGUGAAAUCUUAAAACCUACUGUACUAGGACAGUGGGUG